Molecule: unclassified non-coding RNA, 515 nt
Filed under: Bombus terrestris (buff-tailed bumblebee)
Lineage: Eukaryota; Metazoa; Arthropoda; Insecta; Hymenoptera; Apidae
Description: misc RNA ENSBTSG00005035101.1
Source: RNAcentral
UUUCCACAACACUACCUUAAAUUCUCGCUCUAAAAUAUUUACAACGCACAUAGAAAAUAAAAAUACAAAUUUUGCUCACCUGGUAGCGAUCAAUGGACAGGUGAUGCUGGGCGAGGCCCAAGCUUCGGGACUCCAAGGAGCGCAUUCGUACAGCCUCAAUUCCCGACCGGAAACGGCGCCGAAGACGCUGCGCCAUCCACCGGUACAUCCACCACCGAGUGCGAAUCCACUUCCGGCUCCUCGCGAGGUGCUGGCGCUGCUUCCUGCUCCGUCCUCGCUGCUCUCGCUGCUAGCACGUCCUCUCGGGAUCGGAGCUGGGAUGAGCCCUGGUGAGUCUGCAGAGUUGCAGCGGUAGAUAACGCGUAUCCGCCCGCGGUGGUGACUUUGGAGGCGGAGGCGUCGCACUCAGGAAUCCACGCUGUAGCUCCCAGCCAACCUCCUGGAUGAUCGAAGCCUUCCUAAAGUACGGUGUCACUUCCCUCAGGUAUUUCACUGCAACAGAAAAAUGGCCAACU